UAAGGGCGCACGGUGGAUGCCUUGGCACUAGAAGCCGAUGAAGGACGUUACUAACGACGAUAUGCUUUGGGGAGCUGUAAGUAAGCUUUGAUCCAGAGAUUUCCGAAUGGGGAAACCCAGCAUGAGUUAUGUCAUGUUAUCGAUAUGUGAAUACAUAGCAUAUCAGAAGGCACACCCGGAGAACUGAAACAUCUUAGUACCCGGAGGAAGAGAAAGAAAAUUCGAUUCCCUUAGUAGCGGCGAGCGAAACGGGAAGAGCCCAAACCAACAAGCUUGCUUGUUGGGGUUGUAGGACACUCUAUACGGAGUUACAAAGGACGACAUUAGACGAAUCAUCUGGAAAGAUGAAUCAAAGAAGGUAAUAAUCCUGUAGUCGAAAAUGUUGUCUCUCUUGAGUGGAUCCUGAGUACGACGGAGCACGUGAAAUUCCGUCGGAAUCUGGGAGGACCAUCUCCUAAGGCUAAAUACUCUCUAGUGACCGAUAGUGAACCAGUACCGUGAGGGAAAGGUGAAAAGCACCCCGGAAGGGGAGUGAAAUAGAACCUGAAACCGUGUGCUUACAAGUAGUCAGAGCCCGUUAAUGGGUGAUGGCGUGCCUUUUGUAGAAUGAACCGGCGAGUUACGAUUUGAUGCAAGGUUAAGCAGUAAAUGUGGAGCCGUAGCGAAAGCGAGUCUGAAUAGGGCGUUUAGUAUUUGGUCGUAGACCCGAAACCAG
RNAcentral lists this ribosomal RNA (715 nucleotides) under Staphylococcus aureus. RNAcentral describes it as "partial 23S ribosomal RNA". It matches the Rfam family "Bacterial large subunit ribosomal RNA", at positions 12 to 724 of the family's 2925-position model. The record is from RNAcentral. Lineage: Bacteria; Bacillati; Bacillota; Bacilli; Caryophanales; Staphylococcaceae.